This 405-nucleotide ribosomal RNA is filed under the name uncultured bacterium. Its description in RNAcentral is "partial 16S ribosomal RNA". It matches the Rfam family "Bacterial small subunit ribosomal RNA", at positions 28 to 526 of the family's 1533-position model. The record is from RNAcentral.
GAUGAACGCUGGCGGCGUGCCUAAUACAUGCAAGUCGAGCGAAGCGGGGACGGGUGAGUAACACGUGGAUAACCUCCUAUAAGACUGGGAUAACUUCGGGAAACCGGAGCUAAACCGGAAACUUAUAGAUGGAUCCGCGCUGCAUUAGCUAGUUGGUAAGGUAACGGCUUACCAAGGCAACGAUGCAUAGCCUACCUGAGAGGGUUUACGGCCCCCCGGGAACUGAGACAAGGUCCAGCCUCCCACGGGAAGCAGCAGUAGGGAAUCUUCCGCUAUGGGCGAAAGCCUGACGGUGCAACACCGCGUGAGUGAUGAAGGUCUUCGGAUCGUAAAACUCUGUUAUUAGGGAAGCGGUACCUAAUCAGAAAGCCACGGCUAACUACGUGCCAGCAGCCGCGGUAAUUC